This 232-nucleotide ribosomal RNA is filed under the name uncultured bacterium. RNAcentral describes it as "partial 16S ribosomal RNA". It matches the Rfam family "Bacterial small subunit ribosomal RNA", at positions 523 to 755 of the family's 1533-position model. The record is from RNAcentral.
AUACGUAGGGGGCUAGCGUUAUCCGGAUUUACUGGGCGUAAAGGGUGCGUAGGCGGGAUAGAAAGUCAGAUGUGAAAUACCGAGGCUUAACUUCGGGGCUGCAUUUGAAACUUCUGUUCUUGAGUGAUGGAGAGGCAGGCGGAAUUCCGGUGUAGCGGUGAAAUGCGUAGAUAUCGGGAGGAACAUCGGUGGCGAAGGCGGCUUUCUGGACUGUAACUGACACUGAGGCACG